UACGGAGGAUGCGAGCGUUAUCCGGAUUUAUUGGGUUUAAAGGGUGCGUAGGCGGACUGUCAAGUCAGCGGUAAAAUUGAGAGGCUCAACCUCUUCCCGCCGUUGAAACUGGUGGUCUUGAGUGGAUGAGAAGUACGCGGAAUGCGUGGUGUAGCGGUGAAAUGCAUAGAUAUCACGCAGAACCCCGAUUGCGAAGGCAGCAUGCCGGCUUCCUACUGACGCUGAAGCACGAAAGCGUGGGGAUCGAACAGG
RNAcentral lists this ribosomal RNA (252 nucleotides) under uncultured bacterium. Its description in RNAcentral is "partial 16S ribosomal RNA". It matches the Rfam family "Bacterial small subunit ribosomal RNA", at positions 524 to 776 of the family's 1533-position model. The record is from RNAcentral.